UGACGAAAACUUUUAAGUCGUGUACUACCACAAGAAUUUCUAGACCCUUGAUAUAGACUUUUGAACAAAAUUGGGUAAGUAAUCGGGUCAUGUAUAAAGAAAUAUGUGCUUAUAAAUGUUUCUCGAAGUAUUUCUUCACUCAGUUCUCUCUCUUAAGGGAAGACACUAAGAUGGCAUGCAAAUAAAAAAAUAUACACAUAUAAAUCCCACAUGAAAGUGGUAAAAUAUGCAGAGAAAGCUAUAGUUUACUAAAUUAAAAUAAAAUAACUAUAUUCAGACGUAAUUGUUUCGAGAAUUAUGAAUUAAUUGAAACCACUUGGCCAAAUUUGAUAGUGCUGACUGAGAUAUCAGAAUAAACGUUUAUUUCUUGACAUUUUUUUUUAUUCGGUUUAUAUAAAAAUUAGCAUCUGCUACCAUCAAAAUAGACCUGAAGUUAGACAGCUAGAUAAAAAGAAAGCAAGGAAAACUGACGAUACUUAAAGAAAUAAAGCAGGGCAGUUUUACGCUCUGUUGAACAAAAUAACGGCAGCCAAUAGUUAUUUGAAACUUUGGCCAGAAAGAAAUAACGUAAUUGAAGUCUACUUUUAAGCAGUCUUACCUGGAGGAGUUGAAGAUUGAAACGGCAGCACUUAAUGUUUGUCUUUAUAAAUUUUAUCAGCAAUUAAACAGUUUUCGACGUCGAUGCCCACAGUGGUGGUACGCCAGGUUUCGACGUAGAAUUAAUCGUUAUAUUUGUUAUAUAAACUCAUGUACGUUGGAACCCAUAUUUCCACAAAUUAAAGUGGUGCAGGUAAAUUCAUAGAAAAUGGAAGAGAAAUUCGUUUUCUAUUACUAGAAUUGAAGCGAUGACUAUUAUUUUGUAGAAAGUCGUGUUCUGCUGUGAGACGCGUCGUCACAUUUGCCCAUGGUGGAGCCUUAGAAAGAGUGGAAAAUGGAUUUUUAACUGCUUUUUGUAUAUCAGUUAUUGUGGUGAAUCUAGAUUGGUAGCCGAAUCCGAACUGAUGAUCCAGUUUACUAAACUAAUGCCACAGAAUGUGUCGGCUGAAACCGCGGAAUUGAUUCAAGUGUGUUUAUAGCGGAAACGGUACACACCUUUUUCUGAUUAUCUUUCGUUAACAAGUGAAAGUGGGAAAGUAUGUGAUAUUUGUUCGUCAAUUUGAAGAGUGCAGCAUUGGUUUUCAGUGUUGUUUUAAUGUGAUGAAGCUUGGAACAAUGAAAUCGCUUGAAAAUCAUAAUGUAAUAAGUGUUACGUAAACCGGCCAACGGGAGUUACGAAAGCGUUUGUUUACGGAGUCAGCUGCCAGAUACGAGACCACCACUUCUAUAGUAGUGCAGCAAGAAGAAGACAGCUGCUGCUACAUUCGUGUGGCGUGAAGAAAGAUACUUAGAAGUGGAAGAACCCUGAGAACGCAUACCUCUACCCCCCCCCCCACCCCCCCCCCCCCCAACCCCCCCCCCCCCAAAAAAAAAGGCAUAUGUCCAAAUCCACCUCACAAUCUACCGGACUUAUCCUUGGCCCAUAAAUCACCAUCCAUAAAAUUUCUUUGGAUUCCAUCGGUGGUUUUUGUGAUAUCUUGUGAAUAUAUACAGACCCUCAGACAGACAAACGGACUGAUGAUUACGUAGCCUUCCUCUGACUCUGUUGUUGGCGAUCAAUAAAAUUAGAAUGUUUCCUAUUGGCGAAUACAUAUGGCCCAAGAGUUGGGUGGGAAGAGGCUGUGUCAUUGCAACUGGACUGGCCAUCGCUGUCGUCUCAAGGAAGAUCGGAGAACGAAAGAAACUGAAACAACUUAGAGCGAAAUGGGACAGCGUGGGAAAGGACGUGGUGAUGCUUCACCAGUUUUUGAGGGGCAAAUACUGUCUCAACUUAAGUCCGUUCGCGCUCAAGUUAGAAACCUUUCUAAGAGUGGCCAAAAUUGAGUACGUGGUAGACAAAGACAAUCCCUACGGGCCAAAAAAGGGCAAAUGCCCUUGGAUAACACUGAACGGAGAGGACGUGGAGGACUCGCAGGUCAUCGUCCAGUACCUGACGGAGAAGUUCAAGGUGGAUGUCGACAGCCACUUGGACACAAGAGAUAUUGCGCGUUUGGAGGCCGUAAGAGUCAUGGCGGACGAGCAUGUAUUCUGGUGCGUGAUUACAUGGCGUUAUUGGCUGGACAACUGCAAGACCUUCCUGACGACGCAGAAUUUCUCGCGCUUCCUCAACUUCAUCUUCCCCUUCUUCAUGACCCGUGCCAUAAGGGAGAAGGCCGUCUGGCAUGGCAUCGGAUGCCACACGCCGGACGAGAUCUUCAACAUCUCGAAGAGAGCUUGCCAUACCCUGUCGACCAUCUUAGGUGACGACCCAUUUUUCGGUGGUGACCGUCCUUGUACGGCAGACUGUUCUGUGUUUGGACAGCUUUCUCAGUUCAUGUGGAAUGUGCCGGGUUCUCACUACGAGGCACUUGUUAAAGAGACAUACCCUUCCCUCGGCGCCUAUUGUAAUAGGAUGAAAGACGCCCUGUAUCCAGAUUGGGACAAACUACUGAAUCCACCCUCAGAAUAAAGAAAGGCUAACGGAGCGACUGCUGCUCGUAGAAAUAACUAAAAACCUCAUCCAGCUGUUUCGCUACAGUUGGAGCCGAAGUACUCCAGUUUGCAGAAUACUAUUGAAGAUUGUUUGUGUGUUGUGGCUCGGAGUUUUCCGUGGAUCAUAUUGUUCUCACUGCCAGUAGCUUUAACUUAUGCCGAGUAGCAGCUAUUAUUCAAUUAUUUUACCUCUCAGCUUCUCAGGGAAUGCAAAAAAUGCCGCGAGUGUUAUGUCUCAAUGCAGAUCUGGAUUUCGGAUGGAUACUGGCAGAGCAUUUUAAGCGGUUUAUGUUUUCAAAGCAAUACUAAGAGUACUUUCAAGAUAAUAAGUCCUUCACUGUUGCAGUUGAGGUGGUUAAGGGCAAUGCUGUUAAUCUUUGCCACGAAGAAAACAGUUGACGUCCCUUAAAAAUAUAUCAGAAGAUUGUAACAAAGAUUAGAGGGAUUUUGAGCACAGUGGCCUGUGUUGUGGAUUACAAAAUCCCAUGAAAGAGUUGAAGAAGAAAAAGAAGAGACUGUUGUUGUACAUUCAACGUUGAGCAUUAUUAAAAAGUGGCUACACUAGCGACACCGAGCAACAUUAUUCCUACAACAUCUGUGUAUGGAUUGAGUUACAAAACAUGGCGUCGCACGACUAUGGUCAUCGAUGCAUGGAAGUCUUUGGAUGUGAUACUCCAUUCACGGAGAAGUAAGUAAUCACGUGUAUUAGACAUGAUUGGGAAGGAUUUAUGGCUACCAAAUUUUGUACGUAUCAUUUAUUUAAGUGGUUUAACUGGCUUAGUCACAAUUACUUCUUAGGGAUACGUUAUAGAAUUACUUUAAUGACAUUAGUUUCAUUUUAAUCAAGUUUAGCUCCACAAUACAUUUAUUGCUAUAUCAGAAUUGUAGUACCAUGUAAUAAUAAGUGAGUCGUAA
This is an RNA transcript of Macrobrachium nipponense, 3483 nucleotides long. It is a transcript of the gene named failed axon connections homolog, with no coding region annotated. NCBI's taxonomy places the organism in Eukaryota, Metazoa, Arthropoda, Malacostraca, Decapoda, Palaemonidae. The record is from RefSeq and is a predicted model, not a curated record. The transcript is spliced from 8 exons.